This is an RNA transcript of Gastrolobium bilobum, 2082 nucleotides long. RefSeq lists it as uncharacterized. The record is from RefSeq and is a predicted model, not a curated record. The transcript is spliced from 5 exons. Lineage: Eukaryota; Viridiplantae; Streptophyta; Magnoliopsida; Fabales; Fabaceae.
GUAACGUGGCUUAAUAAGUUAUUUCGUAACGAAAAGCAUUACUACCUUUGUCACUAUUUUUUCAUGCUUCCGGUCUCACCAUGAUGAAAUCAACCUUCACUCCCAUUUUCUGGGUACUUGCCCCCAAACCCAAACCCAAAUCUCCAAAACUAUCAUCUCAAGCAAUUACCAGCACCUUCACAAACAGCACACCACGUGUUCGACAAAACGCCUCUCUCAAACCCCACCCCAUCACCACCACCCCAUCACUCCCUUCUUCAGCUUACAUUCACCUCCCUUUCUGUCGAAAACGUUGCCACUACUGUGACUUCCCCAUCGUCGCUCUUGGCUCCGCUUCAGCCCAAAUAGACGACGACCCACGAGUCUUAAACUACAUGCAAUUGCUCCACAGAGAAAUCAAUGCAACCAAAUUGGAACUUGAUGCCAAGACACCCCUUGAAACGGUCUUUUUUGGUGGUGGAACACCCUCCCUCGUACCUCCGAGGAUGGUUUCCUCGGUUUUGGAGACUUUAAGGAUGAAAUUUGGGUUGAGUGAGAAUGCUGAAAUAUCAAUGGAAAUGGAUCCGGGCACGUUUGAUGCUAAGAAGAUGCAAGAGAUGAUGAUGUUGGGAGUUAACAGAGUGUCUUUGGGAGUUCAAGCAUUUCAAGAGAAGCUGUUGAGGGCUUGUGGGAGGGCACAUGGUCUAAAAGAGGUUCAUGAGGCUAUUGAUAUUGUCAAGCUAUGUGGGGUUGAGAAUUGGAGUAUUGAUCUUAUAGCUUCAUUGCCUCAUCAAACUAGUGAUAUGUGGGAAGAAAGUCUUAGGCUCACCAUUGAGGCACAACCAACUCAUGUUUCAGUUUAUGAUUUGCAAAUUGAGCAAGGCACAAAAUUUGGAACACUGUAUUCACCAGGGGAAUUCCCUAUGCCUUCUGAGAUACAAUCAGCUGAAUUCUAUAAGAUGGCUUCUAGAAUGCUUUGUGAUGUGAAUUAUAAUCAUUACGAAAUCAGCAGCUACUGUAAGAGUGGAUAUGAGUGCAAACACAACUUUACCUAUUGGAAAAACAAGCCUUUCUAUGGUUUUGGCCUUGGCUCUGCUAGUUUCAUUGGUGGGUUGAGGUUUUCAAGACCUAAGAAGAGCAAGCAUUUUACAGGUGAUUAUGUUGAGAAUAGUGGGGGUGAAUCAGGCAUCGUGAUCUACGUUUUCUCGAUCGAUGCUCGAGGACUUUUGGAAUGAUGAAUGGGAUAGGAUCAUCCGGAUCCCUGAUGUAUCGUAUUCAUCACUUAGGGCAUUUGUCAAUUUCUUGUACACCGGCGACGCUGAGUGUUACCGGGAUUUUCGAACUGCGUGCGGCCUCCUCUUUCUGGCUGAAAAGUAUGCAGUCACACCUCUUAGGGGUGUUUGGUUGAGGAAAUUUUUUUUGAAUACUAGAGAAAUGUAAUUGAUAGAAAAAUGGUUGGAAAGUGAGUUUGGUAGGAAAAUGUAAAAAAAGUUGUUUGGUUGAAAAAAAAUUUACCGGGCAAAUGAGAUAAGAUUUAUAAAGUCUAUGUUUGAUUUGAGGUAAAAUAUAGAUGGAAAAAUAAGUAGCAAUUACAAAAAUAUCCCUAGGUUUGGCGUCUGUAAUGAUUUUGUUUAUGAAAACAUGCUUUGGGUCUUGGCUUCUCUGCGGGUUUUCUUCACAAACUACGUGCUUUACUCCUUGUGGUUGAUGCUCAGAUACAUCUUCAGAAGACAACAAAAACGAUCACCUUGUUCCAGUAGCUGUAGCUGAUCAAGCCAAGAGGAAUCAUUUUGAAGAUUCUGAGAUUAAAGGGUUCACAGAAGAGUUGGCUAAUUUGAUAUUUCAGAGCUCUGAAGAUUUUCAUGUAGCCAGUGAAGAAAGAGAAGGAGAAACAGAGAGCUCUGUUUUAAAGGAAAAGGACCCUGAUAUUUAAAUAAUAGGAGCUUCAUUCACAGAACCAUCGCCUCUUGGCGGAUCCAAUACCAAUCCCGGUCGAUCCCGCUCCGGCGUUCCCCUCGUCCAGCGAUCAGGCUCCACAAAAUAACAAGGGUAGUAGGUUAAGCAAAGGGUAGUUUAGGCAGCAGCUAUUUCCAUGGUUUUCAU